GGCCGGGAACUCAAAGGAGACUGCCAGUGAUAAACUGGAGGAAGGUGGGGAUGACGUCAAGUCAUCAUGGCCCUUACGACCAGGGCUACACACGUGCUACAAUGGCGCAUACAAAGAGAAGCGACCUCGCGAGAGCAAGCGGACCUCAUAAAGUGCGUCGUAGUCCGGAUUGGAGUCUGCAACUCGACUCCAUGAAGUCGGAAUCGCUAGUAAUCGUAGAUCAGAAUGCUACGGUGAAUACGUUCCCGGGCCUUGUACACACCGCCCGUCACACCAUGGGAGUGGGUUGCAAAAGAAGUAGGUAGCUUAACCUUCGGGAGGGCGCUUACCACUUUGUGAUUCAUGACUGGGGUGAAGUCGUAACAAGGUAACCGUAGGGGAACCUGCGGUUGGAUCACCUCCUUACCUUAAAGAA
This 415-nucleotide ribosomal RNA is filed under the name Enterobacter cloacae. Its description in RNAcentral is "bacterial SSU rRNA". It matches the Rfam family "Bacterial small subunit ribosomal RNA", at positions 1129 to 1533 of the family's 1533-position model. RNAcentral also lists the same sequence under 1 other name. The record is from RNAcentral. Lineage: Bacteria; Pseudomonadati; Pseudomonadota; Gammaproteobacteria; Enterobacterales; Enterobacteriaceae.